Molecule: transfer RNA, 71 nt
Filed under: Toxocara canis (dog roundworm)
Lineage: Eukaryota; Metazoa; Nematoda; Chromadorea; Rhabditida; Toxocaridae
Rfam family: tRNA
About the family: Transfer RNA (tRNA) molecules are approximately 80 nucleotides in length. Their secondary structure includes four short double-helical elements and three loops (D, anti-codon, and T loops). Further hydrogen bonds mediate the characteristic L-shaped molecular structure. tRNAs have two regions of fundamental functional importance: the anti-codon, which is responsible for specific mRNA codon recognition, and the 3' end, to which the tRNAs corresponding amino acid is attached (by aminoacyl-tRNA synthetases). tRNAs cope with the degeneracy of the genetic code in two manners: having more than one tRNA (with a specific anti-codon) for a particular amino acid; and 'wobble' base-pairing, i.e. permitting non-standard base-pairing at the 3rd anti-codon position.
Source: Rfam by way of RNAcentral
GCGGCAAUAGCUCAGUGGUAGAGCCCCGCUUCGCGUGCAGGGAGACCCGGGUUCGAUUCCCGCCUGCUUCC